GCUUGAGGGAUAGGAAGACACGGACUUACGUAAUUCAGCAAGACAGAUGCCAGGUAUCUCAGUCUGAGCCCUUUGCUUUGGACUCAUCAACAAGCAGUUACCAUUGUCCUGUGACAAAGAGAGGUGGCUUAUCACUGGAGGUCUUCUUCUUGGACUCUUCCUCAUGUUUAUGAUAGAAUCGGGGAGAAUAUCUGGUAGAGGAAGCUACAGAGGUCUCACUGCUUAUCUUCCUGAAGCCAUACAAGUUGAGCUGGCGAAUGAAACUCUUUAAGCUGUCUGUUUCAAAAAUCUUCUUUGCCCCCUUAAGCUGAAGGACCUCUCUCUGGAAAAGGUCUACAUCAAUCAUAAUGGUGUCUCCUUCCUCAGUCCAAUUCACCGACUUGAAUGCCUCGUUCUGCACAAUGGCCCAGAGCUUCCUGGGGAAAGGUAGACUGAGAAGGUCACAGCUCUCAACAUUGUUUCACGGAGCAAAGUUUCAGACACAUGAACCCUAAGACCAACACUGAGAAACUGAAACUGUGAAUCUGAGGAAAUUCAAAUGAGUUGAGUUCACAGACAUGGAACCUUUCCCCAGUGUUGGCUGCCAGCAAAGAUCAGAAUCUGUGUCCAUACAGAGAGAAACACAGCUUAGACUCAAGAUAUCUGGAGAGCGCUUAGAAGGCAGAGGAACAGACCAAACAAAAGAUACCACUCUUAAAAGAUCUGGGAGGAUUUGGAAGCAGGAGAAGCUUUUUCUGGUAUUCAGCAAAUUGGUGAUGCAACCAGUUACAACAUUCAGAUGUCCUGACAAUAACCCACAAUAGAGAAGAAAGGAGAAAGGAAGAAAUCACAGUGUUUGAUAAGAGAAGUCUGUGUCCCUAUUGUGUGUUUUUCCUUUAGGCCAUUUGGUGAGUAAUUGUCCAAAAGUAAAGUGACCCUCUGUACUAAAUCACAAAAUUGAAAAUGAUCAGUAGAAAGAGGGUUUUGUUAAAAAGUAAAUUAGCUCUCUGAUAGACUUUUCCAGGGGCAAUAAUCCAUUACACUCAAUCCAACCUCCAUGGCCAAAGUGCUAAUGUUUGUUAAAAUAAAAUUUCAAGUGCUUGCUACAGGACCAGAUUUCCCUGUUUCUCUUCCAUAUUUGUUCAGAAGUUUUCUUAUUUCCGAUAAUCAAACUAGAGUAAUCAAUUAAAAAUGGCAUGUGUUUGUUUGUGGUAACUGUGAAAGCUUUGCUAGAUCUUCCAUGAAAUUGUGAUAUUUUCUGAGAAUAUAAGUUUUUAUGAUGGUGGAAAUUCAUAGUUACCCUGGAAUGUAUCCAAAUAAAUCUGUCAAAGUUCCUUCUUCCUUCCUUCCUUCCUUCCUUCCUUCCUCCCUUCCUCCCUCCCUCCCUCCUCUCUCUUCUUUUUUGUUUUUGUUUUCAAGACAGGAUUUCUCUGUGUAUCUGUCUGUCCUGGAACUUGCUCUGCAGACCAGAAUGACCUUGAACUCACAGAGAUCCACCUGUCUCUGCCUCCCGAGUGCUGGGAUUAAAGGCAAGCAUCACGACUGCCUAGCUACUUUCUUUUCAUUCAGUAUAAUUAUUUAAUGCCCAUGUUUUCUGUUUAGAAUUUAUUAGAAUAAAUUCCCUGUAAAUGUCACUGAAAUUUUUAGUUUUAUAUAGGAUUAAGUGCUAGAGUUUUCUGUAUUUAAUUACUUUUACUGUUGUGAAAACACAUGUCAUAAUAAAGUGUCAUAUUGAAAA
Long non-coding RNA from Mesocricetus auratus (golden hamster), 1717 nucleotides. RefSeq lists it as uncharacterized. The record is from RefSeq and is a predicted model, not a curated record. The transcript is spliced from 9 exons. NCBI's taxonomy places the organism in Eukaryota, Metazoa, Chordata, Mammalia, Rodentia, Cricetidae.